GCCCGGAUAGCUCAGUCGGUAGAGCAGGGGAUUGAAAAUCCCCGUGUCCUUGGUUCGAUUCCGAUUCCGGGCACCA
Molecule: transfer RNA, 76 nt
Filed under: Escherichia coli
Lineage: Bacteria; Pseudomonadati; Pseudomonadota; Gammaproteobacteria; Enterobacterales; Enterobacteriaceae
Also listed under: 1 other name
Description: tRNA-Phe
Rfam family: tRNA
About the family: Transfer RNA (tRNA) molecules are approximately 80 nucleotides in length.
Source: RNAcentral